GCCUACGGGAGGCAGCACAAGCGGUGGAGCAUGUGGGCCUACGGGAGGCAGCAGUGGGGAAUAUUGGACAAUGGGCGCAAGCCUGAUCCAGCCAUGCCGCGUGAGUGAUGAAGGCCCUAGGGUUGUAAAGCUCUUUCAGCUGGGAAGAUAAUGACGGUACCAGCAGAAGAAGCCCCGGCUAACUCCGUGCCAGCAGCCGCGGUC
Molecule: ribosomal RNA, 204 nt
Filed under: uncultured bacterium
Lineage: Bacteria
Description: partial 16S ribosomal RNA
Rfam family: Bacterial small subunit ribosomal RNA
Source: RNAcentral